This 471-nucleotide ribosomal RNA is filed under the name uncultured eukaryote. Its description in RNAcentral is "eukaryotic LSU rRNA". The stretch from base 84 to 237 matches the Rfam family "5.8S ribosomal RNA". The record is from RNAcentral.
GUAAGUCUUCGGGCUUAUGUUCACUACUUUAUAAACCUAAUUCUAAAAAAUCAUAUGAAUAUAAAAACAUAAACAAUAAAAAAUUUUACUAACGAUGGAUCUCUCGGCUCACAUAACGAUGAAGAACGCAGCGAAAUGCGAUAUGCAAUGCGAAUUGCAGAACUCCGCGAGUCAUCAGAUUUUCGAACGCAACUGGCGCUGAGAGGAUAUCCUCUUAGCAUGUUUGUUUCAGUGUGUUGUUCACUUCAUAAACCUUAAUGCGAUUGAAGGAAAUUCGUUUCUCUCUCGUUAAAAAGGAAGUAUAAUGAUUCUCAAACUUCCAACGAAGCGGUCACUUUUUAGAAGUGAUUUUCGUCUGGAAAAUUUGUUAUCAAUAAUUUAUACCAAAUAAUUUUCUCUUACCCACUGACCUCAAAUCAAGCAAGACUACUCCCUGAAUUUAAGCAUAUUAUUAAGGGAAGGAAAAGAAAA